AUUGAACGCUGGCGGCAUGCCUUACACAUGCAAGUCGAACGGCAGCACGGGUGCUUGCACCUGGUGGCGAGUGGCGAACGGGUGAGUAAUACAUCGGAACAUGUCCUGUAGUGGGGGAUAGCCCGGCGAAAGCCGGAUUAAUACCGCAUACGAUCUACGGAUGAAAGCGGGGGACCUUCGGGCCUCGCGCUAUAGGGUUGGCCGAUAGCUGAUUAGCUAGUUGGUGGGGUAAAGGCCUACCAAGGCGACGAUCAGUAGCUGGUCUGAGAGGACGACCAGCCACACUGGGACUGAGACACGGCCCAGACUCCUACGGGAGGCAGCAGUGGGGAAUUUUGGACAAUGGGCGAAAGCCUGAUCCAGCAAUGCCGCGUGUGUGAAGAAGGCCUUCGGGUUGUAAAGCACUUUUGUCCGGAAAGAAAUCCUUGGCUCUAAUACAGUCGGGGGAUGACGGUACCGGAAGAGUAAGCACCGGCUAACUACGUG
RNAcentral lists this ribosomal RNA (486 nucleotides) under uncultured bacterium. RNAcentral's name for it is "partial 16S ribosomal RNA". It matches the Rfam family "Bacterial small subunit ribosomal RNA", at positions 30 to 507 of the family's 1533-position model. The record is from RNAcentral.